Molecule: ribosomal RNA, 435 nt
Filed under: uncultured bacterium
Lineage: Bacteria
Description: partial 16S ribosomal RNA
Rfam family: Bacterial small subunit ribosomal RNA
Source: RNAcentral
GAUGAACGCUGGCGGUAUGCUUAACACAUGCAAGUCGAACGGACUCUUCGGAGUUAGUGGCGGACGGGGGAGUAACGCGUGAGAAUCUGGCUUUGGGUUCGGGACAACCACUGGAAACGGUGGCUAAUACCGGAUGUGCCGAGAGGUAAAAGAGAAAUUGCCUGGAGAUGAGCUCGCGUCUGAUUAGCUAGUUGGUGAGGUAAAGGCUCACCAAGGCAGCGAUCAGUAGCUGGUCUGAGAGGAUGCCCAGCCACACUGGGACUGAGACACGGCCCCGACGCCUACGGGAGGCAGCAGUGGAGAAUUUUCCGCAAAGGGCGAGUGCCUGACGGAGCAAUUCCGCGUGAGGAAAGAAGGCUCUUGGGUUGUAAACCUCUUUUCUUAGGCAAGAACAAAAUGACGGUACCUAAAGAAUCAGCAUCGGCUAACUCCGUG